UAGUAUGUGGGCAGGUGGUUAGAUUGUUGCGGCACAUUUUUUAAUCAAUGGUGAGAUGGAUCACGAGUAGGUAAAAAGUAUAUGGAUAGGUAGAGUUGUAUGAAUAAAAUAUAGGUGGAUGUGAUAUGAAGAACGAGAUAUUGUUAGUCUGUUGGAACGCACGGAAAUAUAGAACAGAUAGCCAAAUGGAAAAUAUAAGAAAAUGGAAUUCGGCUAGCCUGCAAGCAGGCCAUAUGUGUUCUACCCAUAGAUUAUGUUUAGGAAGAACGUGUGCUAAAUUACUAAAAUUAGCGUAGCAUCAUAAUACGUGCAUGCCCAUGCAGCCAUGCGUAUUCAGUGUAUGGGAUCGAGGUGUGGCAUGUGGGUUGGGUCUGACCUCGAGAUCUAGCUUGAUGAUAUGCGUGCGUGCUGCACAUGCGCUCGGUCAAAUGGUACCAGCUGCAAUUUAUCAGGAGAGCUGUGGGGACGCGUGCAUGUCGGCCCCGGUGGCGGUUGGGAUCGAGACAUACCUAAACAGUUGGGCUUGAUUGACUGGACCGGGCUGAUUCUGACCCGUCUGGGCCAGAAUACAUACAAAUUCACCCUGAUCGGUUAGGCCCAUACAGGGGUCGCACUCACAAACCCGCCAGUAUUCCUCCUCGUUGUCGUCGGCGAGUUCAUCAUGC
Molecule: long non-coding RNA, 665 nt
Filed under: Setaria viridis
Lineage: Eukaryota; Viridiplantae; Streptophyta; Magnoliopsida; Poales; Poaceae
Description: long non-coding RNA (SVIR_LNC002377)
Source: RNAcentral